GGUAGCCGGCCUGAGAGGGUAUUCGGCAACGCUGGAACUUAGACACGGUCCAGACUCCUACGGGGGGCAGCAGUGAGGAAUAUUGCGCAAUGGGCGAAAGCCUGACGCAGCGACGCCGCGUGGAGGAUGAAGGUUUUCGGAUCGUAAACUCCUGUUAAGUGGGAAGAAAGACUCAUUCAUAAUACGAAUGAGUGAUGACGGUACCAUUAGAGAAAGCACCGGCUAACUUCGUGCCAGCAGCCGCGGUAAUACGAGGGGUGCAAGCGUUAUUCGGAAUUAUUGGGCGUAAAGGGUGUGUAGGCGGCAAGUUAAGUCAACUGUUAAAUAUUCCGGCCCAACCGGAAAUCAGCAGUAGAUACUGGCUUGCUAGAGGAUGGAAGAGAGAAGUGGAAUUCUCGGAGUAGCGGUAAAAUGCGUGGAUCUCGAGAGGAACACCGAUGGCGAAGGCAGCUUCUUGGUCCAUUCCUGACGCUGAGACACGAAAGCGUGGGGAGCAAACAGGAUUAGAUACCCUGGUAGUCCACGCCGUAAACGAUGAUCACUAGACGUCAGAGCUGUUUUACAGUUUUGGUGUCGUAGCUAACGCGAUAAGUGAUCCGCCUGGGGACUACGGUCGCAAGAUUAAAACUCAAAGGAAUUGACGGGGGUCCGCACAAGCGGUGGAACAUGUGGUUUAAUUCGACAAUACGCGAGGAACCUUACCUAGGCUUGACAUGCUUCUGACACCCGUAGAAAUACGGUCUUCCGGGUUUCGGCUCGGACAGUUGCACAGGUGCUGCAUGGUUGUCGUCAGCUCGUGUCGUGAGAUGUUUGGUUAAGUCCUGUAACGAGCGCAACUCCUACUGCCAGUUGCUACUUUUUUUAAAGGCACUCUGGCGGAACUGCCUGGGAAACCAGGAGGAAGGUGGGAAUGACGUCAAAUCAUCAUGGUCCUUAUGCCUAGGGCUACACACGUGUUACAAUGGCCAGUACAACGGGUUGCGAACUCGCAAGAGUAAGCUAAUCCCUUAAAGCUGGUCUAAGUUCGGAUUGAGGUCUGCAACUCGACCUCAUGAAGUUGAAAUCGCUAGUAAUCGCGCAUCAGCAACGGCGCGGUGAAUACGUUCUCGGGCCUUGUACACACCGCCCGUCACACCACGAAAGUUUUUUGUACCCGAAGUCGCCUUAGCCAACCUGUAAAGGAGGCGGGUGCCUAAGGUAUGGGGGAUGAUUGGGGUGAAGUCGGAACAAGGUA
Molecule: ribosomal RNA, 1234 nt
Filed under: metagenome
Description: bacterial SSU rRNA
Rfam family: Bacterial small subunit ribosomal RNA
Source: RNAcentral